Molecule: ribosomal RNA, 636 nt
Filed under: Rotylenchulus reniformis
Lineage: Eukaryota; Metazoa; Nematoda; Chromadorea; Rhabditida; Hoplolaimidae
Description: SSU rRNA
Rfam family: Eukaryotic small subunit ribosomal RNA
Source: RNAcentral
GGCGAUCAGAUACCGCCCUAGUUCUGACCGUAAACGAUGCCAACUAGCGAUCCGCCAGUCGACUCAUCGCUCUGGUGGGGAGCUUCCCGGAAACGAAAGUCUUCCGGUUCCGGGGGAAGUAUGGUUGCAAAGCUGAAACUUAAAGGAAUUGACGGAAGGGCACCACCAGGAGUGGAUCCUGCGGCUUAAUUUGACUCAACACGGGGAAACUCACCCGGCCCGGACACCGUGAGGAUUGACAGAUUGAUAGCUUUUUCAUGAUUCGGUGGAUGGUGGUGCAUGGCCGUUCUUAGUUCGUGGAGCGAUUUGUCUGGUUUAUUCCGAUAACGAGCGAGACUCUGGCCUACUAAAUAGUUGACGCAUUGCCACUGUGCGCACAACUUCUUAGAGGGAUUUUCGGUGUUUUCAACCGCACGAAAUUGAGCAAUAACAGGUCUGUGAUGCCCUUAGAUGUCCGGGGCUGCACGCGCGCUACACUGGCAAACGCAACGUGCCUGUCCUGCCCCGAAAGGAGCGGGUAAACCCCUGAAAUUUUGCCGUGAUUGGGAUCGGACAUUGCAACUAUUGUCCGUGAACGAGGAAUUCCUUGUAGGGGCGAGUCAUCAACUCGUCCCGAAUACGUCCCUGCCCUUUGUA